Molecule: long non-coding RNA, 471 nt
Organism: Cimex lectularius (bed bug)
Lineage: Eukaryota; Metazoa; Arthropoda; Insecta; Hemiptera; Cimicidae
Exons: 2
Source: RefSeq, a predicted model, not a curated record
UAAAGUAGUAGUGGAUUAACAGUUUUAAAUCAGAUUAUUCCCAGGCACUGUAUCGCACCGUUCUACCAGAAUUCACAAAUCUACAAUGUCGCUCAGACUUAUCGCUCUUGCUGUUCUUCUCAUCACCACCAUGGUCGUAUGCCAUCCAACCCCCGACGGUGAGGUUGACAAAGGCGUAAAACAAGUGACCGACUUCUUGACUCAAUUGCAGGCAAGUGUGAACCAAUUGGCGUCGUCUUUAGCCGACACCGAAGCUUUCAAACACUUACAGAAGUUCGGAGAUGAUGUUUCCGCAAAAGGAAAAGAACUCCAGGAAAAAUUCGCUGAAACACUUCAAAACAUGGCACAAAAGCCAACACCAGCCAAUUAAAAACAUUUAUAUUGGCCCAAUUUAAUUUCAAACCAUUUUAUUGUUGUUUUCAUUGCCAUUUGUUUCUGUAAAUAAAAAUAAUAAAAUUUCAUGUGUUUUUA